Molecule: small RNA, 641 nt
Filed under: Pongo abelii (Sumatran orangutan)
Lineage: Eukaryota; Metazoa; Chordata; Mammalia; Primates; Hominidae
Description: retained intron
Source: RNAcentral
AAGAACCGAAAGAAGAAGCUUAUGGUCUUCUUUUCAUCUUGUAUGUCUGUGAAAUACCACUAUGAGUUGCUGAACUACAUUGAUUUGCCCGUCUUGGCCAUUCAUGGAAAGCAAAAGCAAAAUAAGCGUACAACCACAUUCUUCCAGUUCUGCAAUGCAGAUUCGGGAACACUGUUGUGUACAGAUGUGGCAGCAAGAGGACUGGACAUUCCUGAAGUCGACUGGAUUGUUCAGUAUGACCCUCCGGAUGACCCUAAGGUAACUGGCAUCUUUGGAAUAUCUUCAGAAUGACUCUGCAUUAAAAGUUCACUUAUUCUCCCAGUUGCCUGACAGAAACUGCAUUCCACAUUCAAGGUAAAGAUCCCUACUAUACAGUGACUGCAGUAUUUCUCUGGUAUUGAUAAGUAUUUAAGGCUUUUCAGGGCUCAAAGGGGCUGUGCAAGAGGACUGAAAAGGAUCAGUGGGACUUAAGUUAUGAAAAUGAGAUCCUUGGAAUGAUCUCUUAAGAACAGCAGAUGCCUGAAGGAAAUAAAAUGCUUAAGGAAGUAGAUAAGCUUCUGUAGUAUAUGUGGUAGAAUAAGCUUCAUUGCGAAGUAUUUUCAACAAACAAUGGAUUAAAGCCAUUGUGAUGAUGAAGCACA